UCUGUAGCUCAGUUGGUAGAGCAGUGGACUGAAAAUCCACGUGUCGUUGGUUCGAUUCCGACCGG
This 65-nucleotide transfer RNA is filed under the name bovine gut metagenome. It matches the Rfam family "tRNA", at positions 5 to 66 of the family's 71-position model. Rfam says of the family: Transfer RNA (tRNA) molecules are approximately 80 nucleotides in length. Their secondary structure includes four short double-helical elements and three loops (D, anti-codon, and T loops). The record is from RNAcentral.